GAUGAACGCUGGCGGCGUGCCUAACACAUGCAAGUCGAGCGAUUUACUUCGGUAAAGAGCGGCGGACGGGUGAGUAACGCGUGGGUAACCUGCCCUGUACACACGGAUAACAUACCGAAAGGUAUGCUAAUACGAGAUAAUAUGCUUUUAUCGCAUGGUAGAAGUAUCAAAGCUCCGGCGGUACAGGAUGGACCCGCGUCUGAUUAGCCAGUUGGUAAGGUAACGGCUUACCAAGGCGACGAUCAGUAGCCGACCUGAGAGGGUGAUCGGCCACAUUGGAACUGAGACACGGUCCAAACUCCUACGGGAGGCAGCAGUGGGGAAUACUGCACAAUGGGCGAAAGCCUGAUGCAGCAACGCCGCGUGAGCGAUGAAGGCCUUCGGGUCGUAAAGCUCUGUCCUCAAGGAAGAUAACGACGGUACUUGAGGAGGAAGCCCCGGCUAACUACGUGCCAGCCGCCGCGGUAA
RNAcentral lists this ribosomal RNA (468 nucleotides) under uncultured bacterium. RNAcentral describes it as "partial 16S ribosomal RNA". It matches the Rfam family "Bacterial small subunit ribosomal RNA", at positions 28 to 523 of the family's 1533-position model. The record is from RNAcentral.